CAGCAGCCGCGGGAAUACAGAGGGUGCGAGCGUUAAUCGGAUUUACUGGGCGUAAAGCGUGCGUAGGCGGCUUCUUAAGUCGGAUGUGAAAUCCCUGAGCUUAACUUAGGAAUUGCAUUCGAUACUGGGAAGCUAGAGUAUGGGAGAGGAUGGUAGAAUUCCAGGUGUAGCGGUGAAAUGCGUAGAGAUCUGGAGGAAUACCGAUGGCGAAGGCAGCCAUCUGGCCUAAUACUGACGCUGAGGUACAAAAGCAUGGGGAGCAAACAGGAUUAGAUACCCCCGUAGUCCCUGUCUCUUAUAC
This 301-nucleotide ribosomal RNA is filed under the name uncultured bacterium. Its description in RNAcentral is "partial 16S ribosomal RNA". It matches the Rfam family "Bacterial small subunit ribosomal RNA", at positions 509 to 807 of the family's 1533-position model. The record is from RNAcentral.